GCUUGAGCAAGCUAUGGAGCUUGAGUAGCUCAUUGGAAUUGGUGUUGGUUUUGGAGUAGAGUAUUGUUGACAUUGGUGGUGAACAAAGGUCGAAUUGAAGCUUGAGGUAAGGAUGCUGCAGGAGCCUCUGGUGGCAAGUGGCCAUAUCUGGAUUAUGCAUGAAAUGUGGCAUUUCUUUUGAGUUUAUGCAUGCCUUUUGUAGUUGACAUGUAUAGGAUUUUAUUUUGAAAGCCCAUGGUCAUUUGUAUAUCUUGAUUCAUUGGAUGAACUUAGCCUAUGCUCAUGCCUUUGGUUACACCUUUUGUUGAUGGGAGCCAAGGGAAUGAUCAUAGUGUUUUGUAAGCUAAGUUCUAUGAUUUGUAAAGGAUAUGUAAUGUAAAU
Molecule: long non-coding RNA, 381 nt
Organism: Gastrolobium bilobum
Lineage: Eukaryota; Viridiplantae; Streptophyta; Magnoliopsida; Fabales; Fabaceae
Exons: 3
Source: RefSeq, a predicted model, not a curated record